CCUACGGGGGGCUGCAGUAACGAAUCUUCCGCAAUGCACGAAAGUGUGACGGAGCGACGCCGCGUGUGGGACGAAGUCCUUCGGGAUGUAAACCACUGUCAGGGGUAAGAAAGUUCUGAUCUACCCCAGAGGAAGGCACGGCUAACUCUGUGCCAGCAGCCGCGGUAAGACAGAGGUGCCGAGCGUUAGGCGGAAUCACUGGGCUUAAAGCGUGUGUAGGCGGACUUCUAAGUACCUUGUGAAAUCCCACGGCUCAACCGUGGAACUGCUUGGUAUACUGGUUGUCUUGAGCCACUUAGGGGCAGUCGGAACAGACGGUGGAGCGGUGAAAUGCGUAGAUAUCGUCUGGAACGCCAAAGGUGAAAACAGACUGCUGGGAGUGUGCUGACGCUGAGACACGAAAGCCAGGGGAGCAAACGGGAUUAGAUACCCUAGUAGUC
Molecule: ribosomal RNA, 440 nt
Filed under: uncultured bacterium
Lineage: Bacteria
Description: bacterial SSU rRNA
Rfam family: Bacterial small subunit ribosomal RNA
Source: RNAcentral